RNAcentral lists this ribosomal RNA (246 nucleotides) under uncultured Lactobacillus sp. RNAcentral describes it as "partial 16S ribosomal RNA". It matches the Rfam family "Bacterial small subunit ribosomal RNA", at positions 116 to 355 of the family's 1533-position model. The record is from RNAcentral. Lineage: Bacteria; Bacillati; Bacillota; Bacilli; Lactobacillales; Lactobacillaceae.
CGUGGGCAAUCUGCCCUAAAGACUGGGAUACCACUUGGAAACAGGUGCUAAUACCGGAUAACAACAUGAAUCGCAUGAUUCAAGUUUGAAAGGCGGCGCAAGCUGUCACUUUAGGAUGAGCCCGCGGCGCAUUAGCUAGUUGGUGGGGUAAAGGCCUACCAAGGCAAUGAUGCGUAGCCGAGUUGAGAGACUGAUCGGCCACAUUGGGACUGAGACACGGCCCAAACUCCUACGGAGGCAGCAGCC